Molecule: long non-coding RNA, 32249 nt
Organism: Marmota monax (woodchuck)
Lineage: Eukaryota; Metazoa; Chordata; Mammalia; Rodentia; Sciuridae
Exons: 2
Source: RefSeq, a predicted model, not a curated record
UGAGCGGAGGUACGGCUUAGUGGAUUCACGCCCGCUCAGCUGGUGGCUGGGGUUCGAGGUUCCGGGUUUCGGGGGCUGGGGGCCAUGGGUGGCCUCCCCGGAUGAGCAGCGCAAGCAGCUUCGACCUGUGCCCAACUUGGGGCACAGCCAGGGACGCGCAGGUUUCACGUCCGGCGCCUGCAGGAGACAGACGCGCGUCCCCGGUCACUGCGCCCGCGCCGGCUGGGGGACCGCGCCUGGUCCUGGGCCGGAUCCGGGAGAAGGCGGCUAGGACUGGGACUGGGGCGGGAUGCGGCCCCUGCCUGGGCGCGGGGGAGAGGCUGGUGCCGCCUUCGCUCUUCUACCGGGACCCGCAGGUAAGCGGGUAGAGCGUCGGUCCCGCUGCGCUGGGAGCGGGAGGGCGCGUCCCUCGUGGAGUUGAAGAGCUUCGGGGCCUGGGUACUCGGCGGUCAGCGCCCGGGUCCAGGGCCGCUCGCGCCGGUGGGCAACCGAGCGAGGAUGCUGAGGCCGGGUCGGGCGCAUCUCGGAGAGCCGCGGCCCCGGCCCUGGCCCUGGCCCUGGCCGAAACACCACCUCCUCCUGUCCAGAUCGCAGGCUGUUAUCCUGGGGCUAUUUCCAGAGUCACAGGUUCGCUCUUCUUCACCACGCCACGAAAAAGGAGCCCUGUGGGUCUAUGAGAGUGGUGGGGGCGAGCGCUCUCAAUCAGGGAUGUCGCUCUGAGCCCAUUUGCCGUUUUAAAUUACUGUCGCUUUAAAACUUACUCUGCUCCCCUCAGUUAAGAGUGAAGGGAAAUUAGGCGUGUAAAUCCAUACCUCUUAGGAUUAGAGUUUGUUUUCACUGUGUGCAGUGGGAAAAUGAUGUUCCAUAGAUCCUAAUUUUUACAACAAUACUUCACCUAGAGAACCCCGGGUCCUACAGACAGACAAUGGCAGGCGUGAAAAAACAGCGGAAAUUUCACAGCGCGGCAGUGGUAGGGGAGAAGUCAAGAAAAACUUGGGCAUAAGUGACCUCUAAAUGAGCUUCUUUCUGAAAGGGUUUUGCCCCCGCACUAGUGGCAGCAGGACAAGAAUGACCACUCGGAGCCCGCACCCAGGUUUGAGCUGGGCCGUGGCUGGACUCCCUGGUCACCUGGGGACCCUCUUGUUUCUGGAAUCGGGCCUUUCAACUUCCUUAUUGAAAUCGUGGAAGCUUUGAAGUGAAAUUGGAGAAAUGAUACUAUUUCUUUUCUUUCCCCUGUAGUGUUUAUUACCUACUUAAAUGUUUUUCUCAUGGGCAGAAAAGUUAAUAAUAUUUUACUUUAUAAUUUAUUGCCAUGAUAAAAAAUUGAUUUAAAAAUCAACUUUAGUUUUAUGUGUUGUGAACUUUGUAUUUGGUUGCAGGGAAGGAUUAACGACUUAUUUUUAAAGUCUAAUUCUGGUUAUUUUAAAUUAAGGUGAAUCCUUAGGUGAGGCUUUUAUUUUGAAUGUAAAGCAAAAAAGUAAAAACAACAGGUUUUAAGUGCGCUGGAAAGAACCUUCCCCUUCCACCUUUUUUUUUUUUUCCUUAACUUGUGGGGAGCCUCCUGAAAAUUGGCCAAUCUCUUUAAAUUGAAUUUUGGGUUCUAUGUUAGAAAGUUUUGAUUUGUGUUUAUGUUACAGAAUUAUUGACUUAUGGACUUAUUAGCUUCUGAUUUUUUUAUUUAUAUCAUAUUAAGUCUUUAUUGUAGAUAUGAAUAUUGCUUACAUGAUAGAUGAUUGUGGAGAGAACUCAAGAAAUUUUUUAAAAGUUCCCAAGAGUUAUUCUUUGGGUGAAAUUUUAUAAUUUUACAGUCUUAAAAGUUCUGAAAAGUCUGUAUCAAGAUUAAGCAAUUGAUAACAUGGAUGGUUGACUCGUUUUGAAUUUUUAAAUAGGUUAUUAAGAAGGGAGGUAUGAAACGUCUUAUAUUUGAGCAUCCUUUUAAAAAGUAGGAGUGGAAAGAAAAGUGAAGGACAACUUUUUGUACAGUGUAUAACUAGAUAAUUCUAGAAGCUAUGAAAAUGCUUCAGAAAGUAAAAUUAAAAGGUAGGUAAACUUGUAUAUUGUGUUUGUAUAACUUUAAGGAGCAUUCACACUUGUGAAUCUCAAACCUUCAAGUAUAUAAUAUUGAACUGGAUAAAAAAGAAGUUUACUGUAUAUCAUGUUUUCCCUUAGAUUAAAAGAUUAUCUUAGUUUGCCUUAAAAUUGAAGCUCUAGUUAAAUUUGGUGCUGAUUUGGGAUAAUUCCAAAACUUUAAUUUAAUCUAACUCAUUUAUUUUAAUACCUUAUUUUCUUCAGUAAUAGGUCUUUGUAAGAUGCAAUUGCUUGGGAUGUUGACAUUUAAUGACAUUAGAUGUCACUAAAUUUUUCAAAAUUGCCUUGAUUUUCCUUCAUUAUGUAUAUUCAGGUGGCAUUAGCAUAUGAACAUUAUGAGGUCUCUUAGCAAAUUUGAACUGUGAAAAAGCUAUAGAUGCAAUUUCUUGGUUAUUAACAUUUCAGGGAUGAAAUCUAGCAUUAAGAUAAAAACGACUUUUUGAAGACAUUUUAGAAUAUGUAAUAUAUGUAAUAAUAUAAUUCUUAGAGAAUGUUUUUAAUAGUUCUUUUAAUCAUAAAUAACAAAAGAACUGAUAAUUAUACUUUAACAAUUUCUUGAUGCAUUUAAUGACUGUUUCCUCACAAGUAAUCUCCCAAGUAGCUACAAAAUUUUCAUAGGAAUGAAAAUUUAUUUUCUGUUAAAGCAUAUUUCUAUAUAGUAGGAAAAAAAUAAUCUCAUUGAAUCUUGAGUAGGUCAAUCUUAACUAUUAAACAGUGAAAUUUAAUCUUUGUAUUGUGAACUAUAUUUUCACCGAGGACUUUUUAACUAUGUCUUCAUUUUAAAUGCAAAUAAAUACAUAGAAAGUUAACCAGUUAUUCCAUUAGUAUAAUAUAAGUGCCCUAAUGUGUAUGGCUUAUUUGUAUAAAGUAAGUUUUUUUCGCUCACAUCUUAUGUGAGAGAUGAGUCCAGGAAAUUAUUGAAAGAGUUUGGGGAAAAAACUUCUAAGUGUGAUUAUGUUGAAAAUGUGUGUUGGUUUGUCAUUGUAGGGGGGUUAAAAAGAAGAAUUUGGGAUCAAAAUGUACUUUUAGAUUUAGAUUUCCUAGCACUUUCUACUUUGUUGUAUAAUUGCCUUUUUAGUCAGUAUGUAAGUUUUGGAUAUACUACAGCAGACACCCUCCCCCAAAAUAAAAUAGUUCCUCAUUGGAACAUCCUUAAUGAUGGUUUCAUCAAAUGUACAACCUGUUCUGUAUUGUCUGAGUACAAUAUUCCCAAUGAUUCAACAUCUGAAGCCAAUUCAAAAGUUAAAUAUAUUAAAAAUUAAAUAACUAAUUUCCAUUUUAAGAGAAAUAUCCUCUUAAGAGAUUGCUUUUUUUAAAAUGUUACCAAUAGCACCAGUCCUUUGAGUAAAAUAAUAGUUAUAAUAAUUAAAAUGUAUACUUUUAGCAGGGGAAAAAUGUAAUUUAUAUUGACCUUGGGGGCAUUUAUACUGAGAAAUUUGUGGCCCAGUUUCUAUUUCUGUAUCUGUGCUGCCUCUUCUAGAGGAUUGGUCAGGUACUGAGAGAGGAAGAAUUGUAGAGAAAAUUAGUAAAACAAGCUAUUUACGUUGGUCAGAGUUCUGCCUGAUAAGCUUGUGUCCAUGUGAAUUUAGAACCAGGAGAGAAGCUCUGAGACUGUUUCACCAUAGCACUUUUACUGAUUCUUGAGAGUUAGAGAAGAAGGGAGCAGUCCUGUCUGACAUUUGCAAAGCUGACUUCAUGAUGUAUAGCAAAUCAAACCCACGGAAUCUUUCAGUCUUGUCCAAUUCAGCUUCACUUCCUUGCCAGGGGCAUAACAGCUGAAGUUGAAAGUCUUAUGCCCAAAUGGGAAAAUUAGUGCCAUUUGUGUACAGGCAGUAGCCUUAUUCAAACUGCUUUCAACUUAAUUAGGGAAAAAAACCCAAAAGACAGUAUGAUUUGAUUAAAAGUCCUCCAGGGUAGGUAGAAUACAGGCUUAAGACUGGGGCUCAAGAAUGCAUUUAGGCUUUCACUUAUUUUGAAUUAUUAAUAGAUUGUGUUGUCAUUCUCUGGUAUGCUAUUUUGUGAUUUGCUUCAACCUCUACAGUUUGGAUGAUGAGAAAAAUAAAACGAAAUGGUGAAUUUUAAAAUGACCCAUGUGGUAUAACACUGAUCAUAUAUAGUUCUUCCACUUCUGCUGAGAUAUAUCUUUGGGUUUUCUUCAUUGUAUUUUAAGUCUAAAGUUCUUUCCUUAGAAGUUAUUCUGAUUCUGAGAAGAGUGGCAGAAAAGGAAAAAGAACUGUAUCUAAUAGGCAAUGCUAUCUGACAACUGACAUCUUAAAUUAUCUCUGUCAAAUUUCAGGUGGACUUUGGCCUCAGUAGCAAAUUAGAUAUGCAUAGAAUAAGAUAAAGAAAUCAACUCAGAAAGACUUGCCUCAGACACUUGCAGCACACCUGAUUUUCUGACUUAAAUGUGACAUGUAAUGAUCAAUCAAGACCAAUAUAAUUGUACAUUUGAGGUGAAACUACUUUACAGUUCAAGGUUUAGAUGCAAGCAAUGGAUAUAUCCCCUCAAAGUCAAACUGAUAAGAUCAUACUAACUAAAAUAAUCUGAGAUUUUUGAAUUCCAGUGCAUGCUCAAGUAGAAAUUCCAGUCAUAAAGUCAUUAUUGAAUAACCCUGUGAGUUUCGGGUCCUACCUUUUACUGAUUAUCUCAACUCCAUUGAUGUAAUUUUUAAAAAGUUAAAUAAGAAUCAGUGGACUAAAGCAAUAAGUAUGAUUUCUGUGGCAAAAUCUACAUGUAGUGAAUGAAACCUUUUAAAUUAGGAUGGAACUAGCUUUAAACUGUAGUGAGUUAUGAACUAACUGGUAAUAUGACAUUUCCCUUUCAUAUUCUUUAUCAUGACUCAAAACUGAUCUCCUUUAUUAUGGAUGGAAGUGGAUUGAAUUUUAAAAUCAAAUAAGCAAGCUAACCUGAGCUUGCAUCUUGACUUUAAUAGUCUUAUGAAACUGCUGCAUGUUUGCUAGCAUUCUCAUAAUGAUAAAAUUCCAGGUGGCUUUAUUAUUAAUUUUUUGUCUCUGGAUUUGGAAUUAGGGUGAUUUAAAAAGAAUAAAAAAUGUAACAUUCACUUUUUAAAUGACUGUAUAUCUGCAAAUUAAGUAGUCUUCAUGAAAAAUAGUAGUUUAGAUUGUAAUCUGAAGUACAAAAAAAUGACACUGGUACCUAGACCAAGUGUAGCAUUUUAAUUGCUUCUAAUAAUCAAUUAGAAUUGUAUUGUAACUUUGUAACUUCUGAAAACAAAUUUCUAGUUUACAUAAAAGGAAAAUUUAAUAGGACAUAUUAAUCUUACUAAACAUUAACUCAUAUUAGCCAAAGGAGUUUUCUCAUGGAGUUAUACUUUUUCAACCAGAAGCAACUGAAAAUAUUUUGAUAGGAAAAAAAAGAGAAAUAUAGGGGAAAAUAAUGGAAAGAUAGAAAAUAAAAGAUUAACCAAUUUGGAUUGUUUUUUGAAGACUCUUUUACUUAUUUAUUUUGCAGUGCUGGAAAUAGAACCAAGGGCCUUGCACAUGGUAGGCAAGCGCCCUAUCACUGAGCUACAUCCCCAGUGCAAAACUCUUUAAUAUAAUUUUUGGUACUUAAAGGUUUACAGAUUCUGGAGAAGUGGCUGUAAAUCUGAAGUAAUGACAAAGGUAAUGAAAACAUUUGAAAGGUUCAGUUUCCUUUUAAAAUAAAUGUAUUUGAUAACUGAUUAAGGCUCAUGUUCUAAAUUUCUUUUUUUAAAUUAACACAUUGUUAAUUUAAAUGAGACUCAUAAAAAUGAAAAACUAAUUAUAAUUCAUUCAAGAAUAAUUUAAAAAGUAAAUUUAUGUGAAAAGUAAAUCUUUUGAAGAUAAUCAUAAUUGUAGGAUUUUCUUGAUGAAAUUUACUAACGUAGAAAUUAUAAAAUAGCUACAUAAUUUCAGAAUAAUACACAAGUUACUUGGUGUUAGAUAGCUAUAAUUAGUCAAACUAAAACAUUUUAACUAUAAAUAUUAAAAAAUAAAUAAAAUUAUAUAAUUCAUUAUUAUCUGCUUAUUUCAAAAAACGUGUUCAAAUUAUUGAAAGUAUUAGAAUCAACAGAAUUAUUUUCCCAAACUGCUAGGGAAUAAACACCAUCCAAAUCUUUUUUUCAAAAUCAAACAUUUAAGUAAGAUACGUGUCCAACUCUUCUAACUGCCAGAGCCACAAUAGCAACAACAGUUAAAGCUAUAUGCAUUGAUCAUGUCCUGUGUGCCAUGCUUUAUUCUACAUGCUCUAUCUCUGUUACUGCAAAUAAUCUUCAUGGUAGUCCUGUGAUCUAAGUGCAUGAUAGUUCCUAUUUUAUGAAUGUGAAAACUGUCCUCACAAAAUUAAAGAGGUCAGAUAGCAAGUAAAUGGUAUGACCCUGGGAUUCAAAUGUAUCUUUUCUAUAUUCCUGUCUGUGCUCUUGAUUACUUGGCAAUACUUCAUAGUCAUUAAGCAGAAUGUUUGUGAGACUUUUUUAAAAAGUUAUUUGGAAAUCAUUUGUACAGCAUCUUGAAUGUCCUAGUUAUAGUAUGUGUUUUUUCCUUAGGUUUUCUGAACUAGUUCAAAGCCUUUCAUCCCUAAGUCUGGCAAAAGACACAGAUGAUAUAGGUUGUGAUGUUUAUGACCAAAGGAAGCAGCAGAUAGUGUCUUAAAGUACUAAGUCUGAUAUUUUAGAGGAAUUAUAAAUUUUCUCUGAAGAUCAUUCCUAAGACUUGGCUUAUUUUUUUUUUGAAACCACGGUACUGGAAUUGAAAUACAGUUGUAGGCUUUGGGGCACCUAACUCAUAAUAGGUGUUCAAUGACUAGUUCUUAAAAAAUGAAAGAGGAAAUUAAUAAAAUUACCUCUUCAGGUGUUGUGUUUUUUUUUUUUUUUUUUUUUGUGUGUGUGUGUUUUGUUAUUUUUCCCCUAUGAGCGCUCUAAUGUAUGCUGUGGAUAGAGGAAACAUAGUAGGAAGCCUGGUGAUUUAAUACUAACUAUACAACCUGGGACAAGUUCUUGGACCUUCUGGAAACUCAAUUUCUUCUCUUCUGAAAUGUAAAGCAUUCUAUCCCCCUUACUAGUUGUAAUGGUUAUCUAAAUUAUAAUUCCCUUUUAUUAUGACAUCUGACCUUUAACAUGGCAUAAAGCCUAUUGGAACCGUGGAUAUUAAGAGACAACUGGGUUUUUCAUCUUUUGGGUUUUUUUUUUGGGUAGAAUUCUAAGAAAUGAAUGGUGAACCGCUACUCUAGCAGGCAACAAGCGACUCCAUUUCCAUUCUUCCUCUGGUCAAAUGUGUCUCUAGAAAAGAUGCCUCUUCAUCACCUACCACAUUGGCUGGGCCCCGCUUUUCUCAGCCUUUUAAACAUUAGAGCAUAUGAGAGAUUUGGGGCUAAAAUUCUUGGUAAGAAACAUCCCUGGUAAUUAUAAAGGUUUUACUAUUAAAAAUAAAAAGUGAAAUACUGGAGUAAGCAAAAGUUACACAGUGGCAAUAGACCACAGGGAAAUGAGCUCUCAUUAUUUUUCUCUUGUACCAUAUAAAAAUGUAUAAAAAUUAUCAAAAAGCUAAUGUGCAGGGAUAUUGCCUUAUUUGUCUAUAAAAAUGGAGCUCAGUAACAUAACUGCUUCUUGGAGCUUUGGAAUAUUUUAUCCUGUAUUCUUGUUUGAAUUCCUCCUCUAUUUAAGAUAUAUACAUGGAAUCGAAGUGUUUAUGUAAUAGUUCUAUCCUUUUGCCUGCAGGUCAGUUGUAAUAAAUCUAGGAUGUGAUGAUGAAAAAAAAAAAAGAGACAACUGUCACAGUCAGUCAGUCAUAAUUCUCAACACAUGAGAAAGGGGCCCGUGUAAUUGUUUCCAUUAAAGAGUGAAAGCCAAGGAAUAAGGAGGGCAUGGUGCUUUACUGAGUCUCAAGUGGGUUAGAAAUUCAUCAGAGUAGUAGAGAAAAGGUCUUGGGGUCCAGUACAGAAUCUCUAGUGUUUACUAUCCUGUGGUUUUAGACAAGUCACCUGGGCUGUCUGUGUGUGAACUGAGGACACACUUCAUGGCUGCAUAUGUUUCUUAAACACAGUCUCUUUUAAAGUUCUGCUUGCUUAGUUUUAAGUGCCUGUUGUCACUGUACCUCUUGUAGGGGAGUUAAGGAAACUCCCCACGGGAAGGCACUACCCUUACACACACACACACACACACACACACACACACACACACACACUUCCAUAGUAAGGUAAAGCACUACCUGCACCUAUGUUUCCCUGUUAGAACUGUUCUCCCCUGAUUCCAGUCUUUCCCACUGCUCUCUAUCCCAGUUGGCAAAGGAAGUUAGGACUGAUUAGUUUUAUCUUGUGGAGGUUAAAGAUCUUGAACUCCUGAACAGGAUAAUUGCAAAGGCCCCUUUCAAAGCUAACAUUUUGCAAUGCCUGAAAUUCAGCCUAGGCACCCAAUAAAAGAGCAAAGUUGGAAGGCUGAAGAAUGGACUAAGUCAGUUUUCAGACUGAAAAGAAAAAAAAAGACUACAAGAAAUAGAUAAAAAGAUUAAAGAAAAAGAAAUAAGAGUAUAUAUGCUAUUAAAUAUAUGCAUUAAAUGUAUGUACAUUUGAGUUGAAAUGAGUUCAAAUGUCAAAGCAAAAAUGUUAAAAACAAUUAGAUUUUCAUGAGAAAAAAAUAAAAAUAUAAAAGAUAAAUUUCAUAAUGGAAAAGUGACUUUUUAAUAGUAAAAACAAUGAAAGCUUUAGUUUUUUUCAUCCGAGUUUCUCUUCAGACACUCAUUAGAGUGGAGUGGUUAUAUUCCAGGAAAGCAAAGCUUUGCAAAUGGGGAAAGCAAGUUGAAAGACAGGGUGAUGUAAAACAGCAUUCCAGAACAACACGAAAGACAACCAAACCUACACAUUUUGAAAGAGAGAUUUUUUUUUUAAUAAAAGAAUAUUCUAAAGUAUUCUGAAAGUAGGAAGCCAUUGUCUCUUUUUGUGUCUGAAAAUGAAACUCUGCAACUGCACAGAUUGAAAGUUGAAAUUUAAGCAAUGGAAGAAAAAAAAACAGACCAGUUUGUCAUCAAAAAUAGCGUUGCUGGCACCUGUGGCAUUCUAGAAAAUGACACUAGUUUGUGCAUAAUCAUAUAUGAGAGUAAGCAAUGGAAAUGAGCAAAUGUUGCUUAUCAGUUACCAACUGAGCAGGGCCUCUCCAACUGAGCAGCAGCUUGAGGUAGGUUGCUGUGGAGGGAACAAUCUUAGCACACACUUGUCUCUAGCUCCCACCCCCAUGUUACAGAUACCAGGCAGGAGUCAUGAGCUCUGCAUGGACUUUGAAGGCGGCAUGUAUUUAAAUCCCAGUUCAGAACUUAACUUCUGGGUGUGUCAUUUGGACUAAAAGCUCCCUGCUUCACCUUUCUCAUUUUUUAAAUGGGGCUAUGCUAAGCUCUAAUAUUCCCUCCCAGGAAUGUUGUGAGGAUCAGUGAGCUCAUACAUACGAAAAUAUUUUAUAACUGUACCUGGAUACUUUUACUCUAACACAGAGAGAUCUUUUUGGAAUUAUUUCCAGGGAGAAGAGGGAAUUAAACAAAGUGAUGAGUCAUCUUUUUUUAAUUGUUGAAGUUCUUGAGCAUUUAGGACAUCAUUUAAAUUCAGGGAUUCCUAGUCUGGAGACCAUGGAUUGUGAGGGAACCUGUAGACAGAAUUCAGGAAUUGUGAGCUUGUAUACAAAACCAAAAAACUGCACUUUAUUUUCACUAACCUGUAAGUGAAAUUUAUCAUUGCCUUCAAUUAUGAAGGAGAUAACAAGUUGCACACAUAUUUAACAGGACCUAUGAUUUUUCAUCAGUAGGAAUGAAACACUUUCGUAUUACAUUGCAUGUGCUGAUAGCUAGAAAUUGUUUAAUGCAGCUUUGAUAUUAUAGUAAUUAUUAGGCCUGCUAGUUUGAUCUUGUUAUUUAAUCUUUUAGUAAAGCAACACACAUAUGAAUGCAUCAAACUUUUUGUUUUGUAAUUCAGGUAUUUUGGUAUCAUUGGUUUCCUUUAUAAUCUGAUAUAUUUUAUCUUAUGCAUUUCAUCUGAGGAGGGAUCCAUGGAUUCAAAAGAGUUUUUGUUUUAAGUUCUUAUUCUGAUAUGAGAAUGGUAUGCUUCACCAGAUAAGGGCAUUAAAGAGUAACCUAUGUGCAUACUAACUACUUUUCCAAGUAAAAGUUUCCAGUUAUGCAAAGAAAAAUAGCUGAAUAUUGUAAUAUAAUGAAACAGUGCUCUGGACAAAAAAAUGCAUAUUCUUUUCAUUCUAUAUCUCAAAAGAGUAUUAUCUUUGUCAGGCAUGGAGGAUUCAGGCCAAACCAGGGUGACAAUCUUAGUGAAUGACAAACAGUAUGCACACCUUACAGAGUCAAUACCUUCCUAAUACCUGUAGAUGAUGCCUGAACCACUCUGCCUGAAGUGCUCCCAUCUAGAAACCCAAAUUAAAAGAUAAAUGUUUACAUUUCAUUUUUAAAUAUUGUGUUUUGUCAUUAUGCAUUUAAUGUAUAAAACUGAGAAUAACUGAGAUUACUCCACUCCUACAGACCUUUGUUUGAACCUUUGUACGAGUGCUCAGUGCAUGCCUAAUAUAUGUGCAUCUUUCUCUCCACAUAAGUCUUAGUUCCUUAAACUCUCAAUCUUAUCUUGGCAUAUUCUCUGCUGACUUUAUUUAGCACUUAAGAAGAAAUAAUUGAGUAAAUUAUCCUGGUGCACAUUUUAGGUCAUUGGGACUUUUUAUUGCAUUCAUAGUCUUUUCUGCAAACUCUGCCUUCUGCUUAAAAUAUUAGACUGCAUUUGCAGAACACAACAACUAAGCAAGCAUUUAUUUCCUACAUCAGGUUCAUCUUGAUUUCCCAUGUUGGAUAUUUAAGCUUCCUCAAUAACAGGCACUUGAGAGUUAUGUUUAUCCUGGGAAUUGUCACAUUCUUCGUUUUGCUUGGCCUUGGUGUCCUUACAUCUGAUGAUGCAUGUCCUUGAGGUCUGCUGUUCUUAUGCGACAACCAGGAGCAUCAAAACCUUUCUAACCUGGAAGGGCCCAAUUUUGUUUUGGGUUGGUGAUUGAAACCAAGGAAGGUGAAGGGACUCAUUCAGGCUUCAUAAUGGGUCAAUGGUAGACUUGAGCUGCUUCCGUUCUGUAUAUUUUCAUCCAUGCCUUUCUACCUCAUCAGCCUUUCUACCUCAUCAGCCUUUCUUUAAAGUUCAUUCUAACCUCUAGAUUCUGCAUAGGAUUCUUUGAUCAGCUUUGAAAAUUCUGCAUUUUAUGUAUUUUACCUAUUAAAGUUUCUGAGAAUUUCCACAACAAAAAAACUUGUCUGAUUUUUAAUACACAUUUUUUUGUUUAUUUGACCACAGAAUCCCCUUUUUCCCUUAGCACCACCUAAUAAGAAGUUAUACUGUGGGUCUCUACAACUCUGCACAGUGGUGAGCUUUGAUGAUGAUGAUGUUGAUGCUUACAAUAGUGACAUUUACAAUGUUGUAGACACUGUUUUAAACACUUCAUAUAUAUAUACAUAUAUAUGUGUGUGUGUAUGUGUGUAUAUAUGUAUGUAUAUGACUCAUAUUCCUCAUAAAGAUCCAUUGAAGCAGGAACUAUUGUACCAUUCAUUUUACAGAUGAGGAAACUGAGGGCCAGAAAGGAGGCUGAAAUGUAGUAGUUUGUUGCUCAAGUAAUAGUGUGCUACUGUAAACCAGGCCUUCUCAAUAUUGGCACUAUUGACAUUUUGACCUUAUAAUUUGUUGUUAUGGAAGGCUGCCCUGUGCAUUGUAAGAUUCUUGCCUUUUACCCAUUUGUGUCAACCAAUAAUGUCUACAGAUAUUGCCACAUGUCCUCUAAAUUGCUUCUGUUGAGAACUGAUGUUGUAAACCUGUAAAGAAAUAUACUUUCUUGAGAGCCUUCUUAGUAACUUUUGCAGUGACUCAUGCUCAUGAUUGGGCAAAUUACACAUUGCAGGUUCUGUGACUAUGUCAAGCAGUAUACACUUGUGUGGAGGCGGAUGUGAGUUAAACUUGACCCAUGCUACUCUCUUUCGCACCAGUUCAUUACACUGCUUCUGGUGAGAGCCAGAAGGCCACAAUUGUUGAUUCUGCUUUCACCUUCUUUUAACUACCUUCAGCACACACCCCCAAUUCAUGUAUUGUUUCCAUUUUAUACUUCCCUUUGGACUUGACCCAUAUAAAUACACAUUACCCUCACCCCCCCCACACACACACACAAACACACACACACACAAAAUCUUGUUUUUUCUCUGUGUAAUAGAGGACUUAAUACAUCUGAAUUACUCCACAGUAAGAACUUAGGCCUGAGCCAAGAUUAACAGCUUCCAAGAAAAACAUACCCAGCAAUGAAUAACUCACAAAGAUUUGGCAAAGCAAAGGUAAAGUUAUAUGAUGAAGUAUAUUACUAAGUUAGUGGGUUUUAUUUUUCCAGUGCGAUAACCUAUUAAAUUCACACACUUCAAAUGGAUUUGAGGCUUUGGGUCAUUGUUUAUUUGUAAUUUAAUAUGCCAUUUUCAGGAGGAGCUCAGGUAUUAAAAAACAGCAGUGAAAACAGCCAGAUUUAAAUCACGUUCCUGCCAAACAUUUACUAUGUGACCUCAUGUCUUUUUUUUAAGAGUUUGUUUCCCCACUAUUAAAAUGAGAUAAUGAGAUGAAACUGAUCAUAUAGUUGAAGAGUUGAAAUGAGAAAAUAGAUGCACCGAUAUUUGGCCCAAGUCCUGGCAUGCAAGUUUACCUCCUUCCUUUUCCAAGGCCAAUUUCUCAGGGCUUUCAACUUCGCAAUUGAUUUUUUUUUUCAAUUCUUUAGUUGUGAACCAAUUGUUUUUUAAGGGGAUCAGAGAUAUCAUCAAGUAACCUAGUACAGGUAACUUGUAUUACAAGGUGGGGAUUGGAGAGCAGGGAGGGUAGGUACAGUAUUCAAAACCAUUGAGUUUUGAAAGCUUUAUAUUUAAAGAUAGCAAGGUAGCAGAGGGAGGAAGCGUGAGGAGUCACAGAGGACCUGUGGAAACAAAGCUCUCCCUCUGAUAUUUGUGGCCAUUGACUAAUUCAACUUUCAAUGGAUAUUUGAAUGUCUACAAUGUGCUGGAAUACUGGGGAUUCAAAGAGAGCAAAAUACCGAAAAUUAGCUACUCUAUCCCUGCCCCAUGAAAACUUUGUGACCCUGAAAUUGGUUCUUAAGCUUAGGUGAACUUGGAAAGAUUACUGAGAUCCAUUAAUCAUAUCUGCUAUGGGCAAGAGAUAAAGGCAGAAAUGGCACCGAGUUUGGUAGUCCUUAGGUUCAAUAUCUUUCAAAAGGUGGAUUUGACCCAAAUUAUUAUAUCAUGAAUCAACUUCUUGAGUCACCACAGUGCUAUUUCAGAAAUAGAAGAGAAGGAAAUAGAGAAUUAUCAAAGUGUAUUAUGCAUAGUGGUUAGUGUCUUGUAAAACUUGGCUUUAGUUAUGUAUGUAUUGUGUACCAGAGUGUGAUGUAAAAUACAUUUCCUACAACGAGUUCCAUAAAAAUAAUGAGAAUAGUGACUACAUAAACUACUCCUUUCUCUCUACAUUCAAACUGUUUGUAUGUCUGGCAUUAUGCGACACAUUUGAUAGUCUGGGCCCUGUUAAUCAAAAACAUAGAAUAACGCAUUUGUUCUAGUAGUCAGUCUUUAAUACAUAAUAUGUUUAUUCUUUGAGUCUAAUUUCAUUAGAGUCUUCAUAGUUUAUGCAGAGUGGUUAGUAAUUAUAUUUAUAUUUAUGGUAAGUUAAGGAGGGAGGCAAAAUAGCCAAGUAUUUAGAAGGCACUAGAGUGAUGCUUUGCAGUACAGGCCAUGCCAUUUUAGAGCUGCAAGGCCAAAUUGUGAUAUCACAUGGCAAGGCCUUAUAGGAACAGCAUCAGAGUUAAGCAUAGCAAUAAAGAUGGUGCUAGGUAUCACAUGUUGGGAGCAUGUCCAUGGCAAAGAAUUAGAAACUGCAAACACUGUUUUACCAGUUGACUUCACAGCUGUUGGUUCCAUUUUAUUUCAAAAGGGUAGAGAAAGAAAUGAAACCCAUAAUAAGGAUAAAAGAAAUGUCCAUGGGAGAGUAUUUGGAAACGACAAGGAAAGAGGACUAGGAGCAAGACAAUAAGAAAGAUGAUCAUAACACUUUGCUUCUAAUCUAAGGACUGAUUUCAAGCACAGAAUGGUCAUUUCAAAGUCAUAUGUCAAUACUUUGUGAUUAGGGAAAAAACCAAAAAACCUUUGUCAUGCAACAGGCUUGCAUGGCAGUCCCAGGAUGAGAACUGGAUAGGACUAAUUUGAACAUAAUUUUAAGACAUGGUCAAUUGAAAGCACCUUGAAUUUGGGGCAAAAAAGAAUAAGGUUUGAAUCUGCUUUUGCCAUCCUAGCUCUUUGGCCCUCAGCAGAUCAUGUCAUCUCUUGGAAACCUAAUCUUCUACACACACCAAAUACAUAUAUAUAAUCACAGUUCACAGGGUGAUUAUCAAGAUUGACAAAAAGCUCAUAUGAGUGGUCAAAUGGUUAUUUCUCUCCAACACUCCACUCUAUUGGAAAACACAGAUUUACAGUGUAUUUUUAAAGCAUAAACAAUUUCUAUGUGAGCACAUAUGGAAACAUGGGCAAGUUGAAGUUGGAAAACAUACCAGAAACUUUCCAAAAUGAUCUUCGAUUGUAAAGUAAUGAAGUCUGUCACACCCUCCCUGUGUGCCUGUGGCUACUUGUUUUGUCUUGUUGCAGGGAACAUGGGACAACAAGCUCACCAAGGUCAUCCCUUCCACAUUACUGUCCAUUGCAUUUUAUACCAUGAUCCAGAUCAGUGGUUGUGCAUCAUGCAUGUGUAAUGUAGACUUAGUAUUUCUUGUAGGUUAAAGGGCCUAGUGGAAAACUUAUUUUUACUUCUCUUAAUUGGUUAAGUGAUGCCAUUAGACUAUCUGGACUAGUUGAAUAAGGAUUCCAUCCAAACUUUCACAUCCUAAGAAUCUGUGAUUCUCCCUUCAAUUGAAUUGUGAUCCACAGUUUGGCUCUGCUUUAGUUUUCUUCCACUUUGUUGGAAGACUUUUGAGCUUCCAGUUGGUUUGGAUGGUUAACUACAGCUACAAUUAGAACGAAAAUAGCUGUCCCAUCCCCAGCUCUUCAGUCCCUAUCUCCUAAAAUUAGUAGCUAUAGGAAGGGAGCCCUCCUUUGUUUCCUUGAGAUUUGCUGAAAGCAGGACUUCGUUUUCAAAAAAAAUACAGCAAGUGCUUAGUGACAAGCCAUACUUGCAUGUGAACACAAAAUGAUGUUAUCUUUAUCCAAACAUGUACCUGUUAUGACAUGUACUUUAUAAAAACUCUCAGAAAAGUGCACCUCAGUGAAUGGGCACUUUAAAAAAGCAUUUAUUCAUUUAAAUUACUGGGAAAACCAAACCAGAGCUGACCUUGUUUGCCCAAAUGAAAUACACCAAACUAUGGUUUCUCUCGCCAUUCCAAGUUUACUACCCUCUCUGUGACUUUGGUGUGUGUUUUCUAUUCUGCUUCUCUGUAGAUUGGCAAUAAUGUGACCAACAAUUUAUAGCUUUGCUGGACUUUGUAUAAAAAAAAUCUAGAGGAAUGUUAACUUCAUGGAAGGACUUGAAAUUGCCAUCCUGAAUAUUGGCAAAUUGUCACCACAAUUAAAAUUCUAGGAGCUACUAAUUAAGAGAAAAGACAAAUGUUAUUCCAACAGCACACAAGUCAGGUGUUUUAUUGUUUUCCUGGACUUUGGAAUCUUUUUAUCAAUUUCAAAUUUGCAGUGCUUUAUAUUAAAUUUAUGAAUUACUUUAAUUUUACCUUGUAAGAUUAAAUGAUUUAGAAGUUUGAUCUUUAAUACUUACAUUUUGUUUUUUUUACAGAUUUACUUGCAAAAUACUGCAACUUUGAGUACUAUAGAAAUAAAUGUCUUUUUAAAAAUGUUAUUCCCCUAGUCAGCUCCAUUCAGCUUUUGUGCUGUUCAUAUUACACUUUUCAGAUUGCUUGUUAUAAUCACUGUGAUUUUAUUGAAUUUUUGAACACUUAUUUAUAAUUUUAGGAAAUCUCUAUACAAUGUAAAGAAAGACUAAAUAGAUACUAAUAUACAAAAAUAAAAUUAUAUUUAAAAUAGAUCCACAUAAGAAUUAAAAUGUCUUAUCUUAACAUCUAUUGACCAUCCUCUAAAACUUUUUUAAAAACAUUUUUGUCAGCUGAGGGGAGUAGCCCAUGCCUAUAAUCACAAUGACUCAAGAGGCUAAGGCAAGCGGAUCACAAAUUUAAAACCAGCCUCAGCAAAUCACCUAGGCUCUGACCAACUUAGUGAGACCCAGUCUGAAAUAAAAUUUUUUUAAAAGUGGGGGCUGGUGAUGUUGCUAAUUGGUUAGCACACCUGGGUUUAAUCCCUGAUACAAAAAAAAAAAAAAAAAUUGUCACUCAGCAUCAAAGUGAGGGAAAAUUUAAACAAUUUGGUUUUUAGUUUUUAUUCUUGCCAGUGGGCAUUUUAUGCUAAUCAAGUUAUUAAGUUGAAAAGCUGUCAAGGGUUUGGCGAACUGAAUGUCAUAUUCUCCAAGAGCCAAGCCCUUUAAGUGCUUUUCUAGGGGCAGACGUUUUCUGAUGUGCUCAGUCUCAAUAAUGCUGCUCACUUCUCUAAGUGACCUGAUCCCAGGGUACCAAAAAAAAAAAAAAAAAAAAAGCUGUCUGGAAGGCCUCACAGUGUGAAGGCUUGUGAGUUUUGGGGGGCAGAGUGGGGGUGGGGUGGAAAACCUCACCAUAGUUAAAAAUUUCCAGUACAGGAAUCUCUAGGCUUUCCUGUUCUUAGGCUCAAUUUUCACUAUUGGUUUCACUAGGAAUCUGUCUUUUGAGAGAUCACCAUUAUAAAGUCUUGUAAAUUGUUUAAGCAAAUUAUAUAAUGGGUCACAUCUCCAUUGUCAAUCUAAAUCAUGGUUCUUGAUGAUUUCACAUUUAGAGUAAAUGAACCAAUUUCCAGUGCUUGGUUGUUUUGGGGGAGCAGAGUGUGGUCUCCAAGGACAGGGAGUCUUCAGGGAGCACAGACCAUGUUGUCUGGUUUUUCAGCUAUAGGAAUUGAUCACAUCCUUGAGAUUCAGAGUUGAAACUUCUAGUGUAGUGUUUCCUUCAUGCUUAGAAUAGUGCUUUUAUAUGUGCUUAGGGCCGAAAGUUUGAAGAGCAAAAUGUGGUGCGAAUAGUGCAUUUUUGUUUGUUCCUUAGCUUGACUUUGCAUUUACUUGAAAAUACAGACUGUAUUCUUACAUCUGAAUGGCCUCCUGACAUUGGUGGGAUUAAAAAACAAAACUAAAAGGCUGGGGAUAUAGCUCAGUGGUAGAGUACUUGCCUAUCAUGCACAAGGCUGUGGUGUCCCCAGCACUGGAAGAAAAACUCCUUAAAACAAAGCCAAAGAUCACAAAAAAAUUAUAGAAUGGCAGCUGCCUGUAGUUUUAUUUUUUAAAAAUAAUUAUUACUCUUGACAACAUUUUAUCUUCAAAGUGUUUGGUGAAUAUUAAUUAACUUUUUAAAACUUUAAAGGAAUCCAAGUCAGCUUGCUUUUUCAUAGUGAAUAGCCCAUUGAAGUCAUGUUGUAUAAGAUUGAGCUUUAAUUGACCUAUAAUAGAAUUAUUAAAAGAAUCUUAAUGGUACGCCUGAGCUUCAAAGAACAGAGAUCUAAGUGGAGUAAAGUAAUGUGCAUCUAAGAAAGUAAUUUGGUUCAUGCUGAUGAAAAGCUGAAUUUAUUGUCUUUGCCAAAUAAAUUCAUGGCCAAAUAAAAUCCCUUAGUGGUGAGUGAAACGGACUGGGUUUAAUUUGAUUGCUGCUUUUUUUCUUGAGGCUAUAGAGUAAUGUCUGACCUGACAUCUGCAAUCAACAUUUAGAAGAUGUGAAUGUUUAGUCAAUUUGGGCCCAAUACUUUUCCCAUACUUAAUUGGAGAAGUAGCAAAAAAGUAUUAAUAAUAAGCCCAGAAAUCAACCCAUCCAAAUAAAAAAUAAAAGGCCUGAAAUAGUUAGCAUUCAAAAACAUUUUCAAAAUAAAAGUACAGGUACUUAAAGGUUGAUAACAUAACUACAAUUUCAAAAUAAUUUCCCUGCUGAAUUUCUGAAAAAUUUGCUUUUGUUGAAGGUUUCUCUUUUAAGGUGGUUAUUCUAAAAUGACAUAUAUUAUUUCCUGAUGAACUGUUCCCCCAUCUACUCACAUUUAUGCCAUAUCUCAUAAAUCCUCCCCUCCCCCACACAUACCACAGACAGUUAUCAGUGGUGAGUUAAUUUUUAACCCUUGUGGCAAUGAGGAAGUGCUCCAGUGGAUAAAUUCAAAACCCUGGACUCUAGUAAUUCAUAACCCCUUCUAUGUAAUGAGAGCAACUGAUAUAAUACAGUAAAAGGAGAAAUAUUGCAUGUAUACAUAAUAUGUAGACAAAGUAAAUAACCAUCCAUGAGGAUGUAAUUCAAGGAAUGUCUAAGGGAGCCUUUACUUACCCAAGCCUCACUUUUCUAAUUUGUAAUAUGGCCUCAGAAAGCAAACAAAAAACAUGUUUUUCACAAAUGUGUAUUAUUUUCAAAGUCAAGAUCCUUGCAAGUUCUUGCUGCAGAAAAAGACAACUGUUUAGUUCCUGACUGUUUUAUGCCUGAGCAUGUUGGCAUGGGGGUGAUGUCUCCUAGAGAUCUACUUUGUUUUUUUUUUAAAUAUAUAUUUAAAAUUUUUGAUUAACAUUAAUCAUACAUAUUAAUGGGAUUCUGUGUGACAUUUUAGUACCUGUGUAGUGUGCACUGAUUAAAUCUUUUCCCUUUAUCCACGCUGCCUUCCCACAUCUAGUUGUCCCUAUUCUAUAUUCAUUAGUCUUUUAUGCAGUCCUCAGUUCCUCUGAAGCUCUCUCUGACCUCCUUCGGGAUAAAAUUCAUGAAUGCUUUCCCUGUCUUUUUCCUCAUCUUUACAUGCUUCUAUUAUAGCUUGUAUCAUAGUGAUGCAUUAUUUUUUAUAUGCUGGUAGUUCAUCAGUGCUGAACUGUAUCGAGUUCAUCUCUGUUCUCUAUUUCCUAGUAUGUAAAGGUUGCAUAUUGAAUUUUUAUUGAGAUAAAAUGAAGUAAAAAUGCUCACCCCAGUCACUCAAAGGUCUUUAAGAUUUAGUUAAAUGUAAUGGAGCAGCUUUUUUAAAAAACACUCCAUUUUUAAAGAGUAAUAUUAUCUUGUUUUUUUUCCUACAAUGUCAAUCAGUUAAAUGAAGAAAUUUUGGAAGAUACAUAUAGUAGUUCUCUUAUCCAUGGUUUCACUUUUUGUAGUUCCAGUUACCUGUGGUCAACUACAGUCCUGAAAAUAUUAAAUGGAAUAUUCCAGAAACAAUUAAUGAGUUUUAAAUAACUUUCAUUAUAGAAUAUAAUUACAAUUAUCCUAUUUUAUUUUUCAGUUGUUGUUACCCUCUUUCUGUGCCUGAUUUAUAAAGUAAGACUCUAUUGUAGGUAUGUGAAAACAUAGUAUAUAUGACCCCAUUAGUAGUCUUCAAACAUAUCCUCCACAGAUUAACAGGGAGGUGGUGGGGGCUACUGUACAUUUUUAAUGAAGAACAUUGAAAUAAUUUAUUAUUUCACCCCUCAGAGAUAAACAUUAAUAAUAUUUUGAUAUAUUUCCUCAGUCUUUUUACUUAAAUAUAUACAUAUACAUAUUUAUUUAAGUACAGUGGGGAUGUUACAGCUUAUGCUAUUUUGUAACUGUUUUGCCUUUUGAUAAGUAGCUUAUACCAUCAUGUAUCAGUAAAUAUUCAUCUAAGAUAUAUUUUAAUGCUUCAUCAUAUGAACCUACCAUAUAAUGUAUUGGUUAAAAUGUAAGUUUUUCUAGUUUGGGUUGUUGUUAUAAAUUAUUCUGUAUGAACAUCAUUCUGUAAAGGAUUUAGAAUUCAACUGGUUUAACUACACUAGUUUAAAAUAUUAAAAUAUUUUCAUACUAAUUAUAAAAUAGUCACUGCCUGAGUCUUCUGCAUCUCCUUCUGAACUGAUGAAUUAGUAGUCUAGUAGUGAAGGGGUUUGUGCCAGGCACAGGAGCAGGUAGCACAAAUGGCAUAUAUUUUGAUUAGUCCUGAUGGUGAUUUAUCUGUUCAAAAUAGUUAACAACACCCUGAUACUCCACAGAUAUUUCUCUUUUUUUGAAGCCCGACUUGUAAAAAUCUUUGACCAACAAACGUGUCAGGAUCCUAUCAGGAACUGCUCCCUUGAGUUUCGAUAAUUCAUGGAGACUCACUAAAGGUACUAUUUAAAAAGGAAAGGAGAAGGAACCCACAGGGCAGAUGAGAAUAGAGACCAUUUUAACCCCAAAGUGUAAAGUUGAGUGGUUACUAGAAACUGCCAGGAGAGAGCCACUUUGAAAAGAGCUAUGACUUUUGAUGAAGGGUCACAGUCAAGCAGUGACAGCCCUAUGGAGAACAAGCCCAGGAGAUGGAGAUCCCAGCCUCCUCUUCCCUCUUCCCUCUGGCCUCCUAUCAGGGCUCUUCUUUGCUGGCCACCACAGGAAGACCACUGGGAAACCUGUAUCUAUAGAUCAGCCUCUCCGGGUGGAGAAUUAAUUUGGAAGGGUAAGCCCAGAGGAGAGCUGGCACACAUUCAGCCACUAUUCCAUAAUGAAAAUUUGUUUCUAGAAAAUUUUAGAUCCUCAAAUGUAGGCUAUAAUCAGGAUAUCAGUUGAUUAUAUUUAUAGAUCAUCUGAAUUGACUUAUGAGGGAGUGCACUCUGCGUCAGUGGUGGGAGGGAAGAAUCACAGGGGUAUGAGGCACCUGGGGAUGUAGAAGCACCUUGGUUAACCCCUCCUGCCCCCAGAGUUCAGCAGCGGGAAGAGUGGGUAUACAUCUUCAGAGAAGGGGCGGAUUCUCAGUUCUUUCUACACAGGACAGUGGGCCAACUCCUAGAUUCAUGGAUGUUAUAAAAUUAUCUCAGAAGAGACCUUAAAGAACAUCUCUGUCAGCAAUAUUCCAACUGUUUUUAGUCACAGAGUUCUUUCAUGAAAUGAAAUUUUAUGCAGAAGCCCAACAUAUAAAGCAAACAAAAGUACAGCUGCUGUGGUGGGUAGGAGUGAGACUCCCAUCCUCCCUUCUCCUCUUAUUCUGUACCCUGGGGACUUAGAGGAUUUGCCUAGGCACACAGCCUCCUGGUGACAAAGUCUCUGCCUGUGGAUUAUAUUCUCUGUCUCUGGACAGAGCCUCCUCCAGUAGUUGUAAGUUUGUCAUGAAGGCUUCUCACACAGUCUCCGCUUCACACUAUGGUCUUAGCAGCUUGAUAACAACAGUGAGCUGUGAUAUAACCCUCUGUCUGCUUCUGAGCCUUGUGUCUGUGUUCUAUAUCCUAACCACACUUUAUAAUCCUAACUACACUUCAUAAACAAAUCAGUGCUCCGGCCCUAUCUCCAGAGAGCCUGCAUUGUUCGCUGUGCACUGGGUGGAUAGGCUUCAGUAGUUUUCAGAAGCUCAGAGGAUUCCAGUGAACAACAAGGGCUGAGAAUGUCUGUUCUGGUGGCAGCAAGCACUAGUUCCCAGAAAGGAGGUUUGCUUAGGUCGGACCCAGGCAGCAGCUGAUACUUCUAGCAGUUCCCACACAGAUUGUGAAAUCCAGGGGAAAUGAAAUGUAAGCUACUCAUCAGGAAGAAGAUUGGAGUCUGAUUUUGUGACAUGGAAAUUGGGACUAAAUUGCUCAUAAUUAUGUUGUUUUUAAGAUACUUUGUAAAUCAGAAAUAAACUGAGUAAUAAAACUCCAGUGAAAAGCAAAUAUCUGUGCAUAUAAUAAGUGCUUGGAGGUAGAGUUAUGUUUUCCCAAGAGUCACUCACUCAUCGAUAUCCUAUCAUAUAUAAGCAGUUAAGCAGUUACAAUGCCUUCUUUUUUUUGCACAUACAAAAAAUAAGUUUAUUGGGAUAAACAUACAACAUAAAUUUUAACUGCAGGUGGUUAUACUUUUAGUGUUUCUGAAAUGGUUCAGUAGAAUUAUCUUAAGUUAUAGAAUAAAAUUUUAGAAGGAUUUAGGUGCAUAAAGAGAGUAGUAUUUUUAAGGAUGUUCAUUUCUCCCAUAUAAUAAAUAAAUAUUGUUAAGGUAUAGAUAUGCAAUUAUAAUUUAUACGAAGACAUUUCUGUAAUUUGUUACCCAAUGGUUUAAAUGAAUGAGAAAUAAACCACAUUUAUUUUGGUUUACAUUCUCUUCACAAACAUUAAUAAAAUCUAUGCUUUGCUUUUUUUUUUUCUAGUGGAGGGAUUGAACCCAUAGUUUCAUGCAUGCCAGGCAACCUCUAUCCAACUGAGCUGUACCCCUAGUGAAGCCUCUGCAUUUUUAGUUUUAGGCUGACUAUCUCAUUAUAUUUGAAAAAUGCUUUAUCAAUCAUUUUCUUCUUCCAAAUAUGGUCCACUCUGUUUCUUUAUAUCGGGUCUCUUUUUCCUUGUAAUAAACAUUUGGCAAUAUAGUAAAUAGUACGUUUGCAUUUUCCUAUGGCUACCCAACACUGAAGUUACCUACCUAAAGCAUUCUCGAUCCUUAUUUCUAGCUAAAACAUUUUCCAUCCCUUUAAAGUAUUUUUUUUCCUCAAAGUCCAAUAGAAGUUACAGCUCUAGAAAAGAAAACUAAUGUAAAUGAAUUAGGAAAAGUUCUUCCUACAUUUUGGUCUUAAAAGUGUAACGUGUUUAUUUGCCUUAGAACGUCAUGUGAUAAUUGUACCCAUUAAUGGCUGUUGUCGGGAAAUGAAAUUGUUGUGAUUUUUGUGCUUCUUGGGUUUCAGAGAGACCAUCUCAGGCCGACACCAUAAUUAAGACACAAGGCUUUAGAGAAAGAUAAUCUCUCUCAAUACCAGCAGAAAAAUAAACUUAAGACUAUGUGAAUGGCUUUUUACUGUAAUAAAAAUUAAACAGAUUUGUAGUUAUAAACCCAGUUCUGUGAAAACUAAAAAUCCUGAGGCGGAGACUUUCUUGCCAACUGUGGGAAGAAGUGCUUUUCUUUUGUGGUUAUAUCAUAUUACUAGAUGCUGUAGAGAGAUUUGCAUAAAGGGACAGUGAAGUCCAUGCCAUGGUACUGCUACCAUGGUCCAGAGGGCAGCCCCUUCGGCUCCCUGCCAAGUCCUGUUACUCUGUCAUAGUUGCCUUCUCUUCACUGCGCCGGGCUUGUGACUGGCUCUUCAGGAUUUCUUUCAGCAUCCUCGUUUCCUCUCUUUUGUUCUUGAAUCUGGUAUUGGUAUUUACCAAGAAAUGAUGUAUACACUUGAAGAAGUAUUUCCAGGGCACCUUGAGUUAUUUAAAAGAAAAAUCUAAAAAUGAACACAUGUAUCCUCACUCUUACUUCAUGUGUGUUAAAUAUUUAUCUUUCCUUGAUGGGUAUUAAAAUGAAAGCAUUUUAGCCCCGAGAUACCUCUAGUAAAAGUGAAGCAUAACUGGAGAAGGUGCAAAGGAAGAACAUGAGGUGAUUUUGUGUUUAAACAAAGCAGAAUUCCUUUUCAUGAAUCAGAUUUGGGUUAUGAAGUGUCAGUUCUGCACAUUCUUUAUAAAGAGACUAAAAUGGGAAUGAUGAUGUUUGCCUUGCAGGGCUUUGGGAGGCUUGGAAACAAUCCAGUAAUAACAUAUAUAAACCCCUAGCAUGAAGCCUGCAGAGUGUAGAAACAAAGGGCAGCUCUUGUUAGCACUUCUGUUCUCUUCUGCAGACUGCCCACCCUCCAUGCCUCACCCGAGUGUUAGUAGCCUCUUUUCUCUGACCAUUCCUAGUCUCCCUUCCCUGGUCAGGCCAUAUUCCCUCCUGGAACCCCCAGUGGAAUCCAUCUCUGCUUGGAAGUUUGGUAGUCUUUGGAUCCAGAAGCUGCUGUGUCAGCAUUAGUGGCUCAGGGCAUUAGAUUUUAAUAGAACAAAAGCCUCCAUAAAAGCAAACAGUGAUUGGGUUCAGUUUGCCAAUAUGCCUACAUCAGCAACACCAAAGUGACUCGCAGGGAAAAUUUGAAAAACAAAACUCCCCCAAAAACUUCCAGUAAAUAAAUGUAACAUAGCAUUCCUUGGUUUGUUUCUUUGUUGGAAGAAGGCCUUCAGCCUCGUCAUCAUUCUCAUCGCAUUAGUCUGUUUGAACUGCCGUAAAAGAAAAAUGGCUUAGACAAUAUUAAUUUCUUUUGUCACAGUUCUGAAGGCUGGAAGUCCCAGAUCAAGGUUCCAGCUGGUUUGGUUUCUGAUGAGGGCUCUUUUCUUGGCUUACAGUUCACCACUGUCCUGUCAUGUCUUCACAUGGCUUCUCUGCAGUUCCAAUCUGUGGAGAGAGAGAGAGACAAAAGAGAGCUCUUUUUUUUUUAUAAGUUCACUGGUGUCUCUUUAUAAUUCUGUUGGGUCAGGUCUCUGCCCUUUAUCGCCUUUUCUUUGGUGUGUGUGUGGGGGUGUUUACCAGGGAUUGAACUCAGGGGCACUUGACCACUGAGCCACAUCCCCAGCCCUAUUUUGUAUUUUAUUUAGAGACCAGGUCUCACUGAGUUGCUGAGGGCCUCACUUUUGCUGAAGCUGGCUUUGAGAUCCUUCUGCCUCAGCCUCCCGAGCCACUGGAAUUACGAACAUGUGCCACGACACCCAACCCUUUAUCGCCUUUUUUUUUUUUAACCUUAAUUACUUCCUCAGAGUCCCUAUCUCAAAAUAUAGCUGCACUGGGGGUUAGGGCUUCAGCAUGUGAAUGGAGAGGCACCAACAUUCAGUCCAUAAUAAUGGUCAUUAUCAUUUAUUUGAUAACAUUUAUUGAACAUUCAAAAUACUAGGAGGUGAUAGAAGGGGUGUAUGUUAGGUUUUAUUAAGAUCUAUGUUAUAGCUGCUGUAGCAAAUUUGUGCGAACAUUAUUUUUUAAAAAAAUCUUAACUAUAUUGUUUCAUUUGAUUCUCAAGCAGCCCUCUAUGAGACAGGCAGUAUAUGUCUCCAUUUGAUAGGUAGAAAAUUAAGGUUUGAAUAAAUUUAGUAAUUAGCUGAUUAUACAGUUUGCAAGCACGCGCAAGGACUGGAAUGAGAAAUGUGUUCUGUCGUGCAGCUGUGCUCUAAACCACUGCAUCACAGCCUUAUUGAGAUAAUGCUUGCAUCAUAGCUCUCAACAGCACAAGUUGACUAAGGCAAGUGACACAGCAAACUCCAGAUUUAGCAGGUGCAGUGUCACAUGGCUAGGGUGUGAAUUCAGGGAGAAUGGAAGUCAGUGUCAUAAUCAAUCACAAUGCUGUGUUUGCUCUUAUUAUACUUGUGCAAAACUUGAUCAGAAUUUACCAAACUGUGUGGAAAUAUAUGCUGUGUCAAGAAUUUACACUUAUCCCAACUCCCACUUGGGAACCUACUGCAAGUAGACAUUUAGCACCAUGCUUGGCAUAGACUAGAUGCACAUCAAGUGUUAAACUAAUGGAAUUAUUAGUAUGUUGGUGACCUGAGUCAGUUUCCUUGAUAUAACUAAGCCUUCUUGGUGUUACCUUAAUCACUUAUUAACAGGAGAUAAUAAUAUCUAUCACUGCCAUUUUCCUGAGGAUUAAAUAUAUACUAUUUAUUUUUAAAAAGUAGUUGCUUUUCCUCUCCUCCCUGCUUUUCACUGUGUUUCUAUAAAUUUGGGAAAAUAGGAAAUAGUUUAAUUUUGGCCUGUUUCAGGCAAAGGGUUGUAUAAUGGGAAUCCUCCUCAUAAAUAUCUCCCACACUUUCUAAUUAAAAACUGUAUGAUAUUCAGCUAAAAUUUUAGAUCUCCUUGAAGGCAUAAGGUCAUUAGCCAUUUGCAGUUCAUCUUGCAUUGUUAUAGUGCUGGGGUAGAUUUCUUCUUUCUCAUUCCUAUAGAGAAUAUGUGCAAAGGGAGUUUAGAGUGAGUAAAGUAGUAUAACUGUGUUAAUGAGGGCUCUUCGAAGAGGAACAAACCUGAUAGGUACUACAGUGUGUGGGGCAGGGGAAUGUGAAGCACAGGAGUGAGAUAGGCAGAGGGAAGAGUGUGAGGACCUUCGGCAGGAAAGACAAGGAUCCGCUGAGGUAAGCAGGGCAUCAAAACUUAACUCUGCCCAUUCCUCUGUACCUUGGAAGUUGAAGCCUGGGGAUCAUUUCUGAUUGCUGAUGCAGAUAUUGAGUUGUAUCUCAUGCAAAUUCCUAAAUUAAAAACAAUUAUGUUGCAUUAUACUUUUGAUAUUUUUCUUCCAUAGAAAGAAUUGCAUCAAUAUUAAAAUUGUACAUGACAUAUAUCUGCAUCCACACUUGUACGUCUAUGUACACAAUCUUGCUGCUGAAAAGACACUUUGAAAAGCCUCACUGAUAUGAUUUCCUUUUCUUAGUCAUUCCUGUAUUGCUUUUUUUUAAACUGUAAAAGUGUCUGUGAUUUUUCCAGUAAUUAUUCUCAGGAAUCCUAUGAUAAUGUUUUAGCACAAGUGAAUUGAAUAUAUUUUUGCAGUAGCCAUUUUUUCCUCAUUGUGUCAGUUUUUGUAUAUGAAUGAAAAGUGUAUAUAGAAUGUGACAUUAAUACCUGGGGCCCUCCCUAAAUCUUUAGCCCUCCAAUGGCCAUAAUGUUAUCUUUGCUCAUUUCUGAGAAAUAUCAUUUCUUCAUUAUAAUAAUGCAUACACACACACAAACACAUUUAUGUGUGUGUGUGUAUAACUAAAAUCUUACUUUUUCGCAACCCACCAGAUGUAAGGCAGACACACAUCUGGCUUCUAUCAGUUAGGGAGUAGCUUUAAGCACAUCCUGUUAAAUUGUCUGUUCCCAAAAGCAAUCCCAACACAUUCAGUGAAUGUUAUUUUUCCCCCACAGUUAUGUUCUUGAUUGGACCACAAAUUUUUCCAUAAUACUCUACUUGAAAAAUAGGACAUUCUAGCUCCUUAUUCAUAAUCAGCUCUCACCCCCAGCCUUUUUUAGAAAACUCUUAUAAAAAAAUGAGACAUUAAGUGGAUUGUGUUCCAGCUUUGGAAAGAUAAGUGAGUAUUAGUUGUACCAUUUUUUAGUUGCGUUGAUUAACUGGUUCUCAUUCUUUGUGUUUGUGUACUGAUUAGAGCUGGUGUAACUAACUCUCUCCUGUCCUUUACGUGUCUGAGAUAUACUAGAUUUGCUGCUGGUUUUCAAUCAAUUACUUAUAAAGGAAAGCAAAUGAUUAACUUCAAAUAAUUUAAAGUUAGUUAAAACAAUUUGAAAAAUUCUAGACUUUGAAUGUUGCUAGUUUUACUACUGAAGGUUUGGAAUAUAAAAGAAAAAAAUUCAUCUUUUAGAGCAAGAAAAUUAUAAGAGGGCCCUGAAUUUUCUCCAGUACACUUUAUUGACAGCAUGUUUCAUAAUUUAACCUUAACUACUAAGGUAGCCAUAAUACUUAUUCUGUUUUCUAGUUGUUGCAUAAUUAAUAAUUAAGCUAGAUUUUUACAGAAAAUUUGAUUUGCUGAAAAUUUGAUUUGCAGAAAAUUUUUUGGAAUUUUUGAAGAAAAUAGUGCUGAAGGGGUGCAUCUUAUCAGUAAUCUGGUGGAAGCCAUGGUUCACUGGAUACAACAGAGAAAUUAAAGAAAGGAGCCAUGUUUCAACAGUGGUAGCUUCCCUAACAGGGCAGAGGAUAAUCUUCCUUUAAGCUUUCAAAUUGUGGAAGAGGAGAUCUCAGAAAACAAAACACUACUGAGGCCUCUAUUGCUCCUGUAACUUGGAACCGGAGAGGAGGCAAGAUGCUGGCAUAGCUGUUGAGCUGAGAACCUGCUAUGCCAACAUAUUGCCAUCUUUCCUGUCUGACAGCAGCCUGGCCUUCUGCACACCAUUCUUCCUCGUCUUGCUGCAGAUACGUGCCCUUCUAUGGAUGUGGGUUUUCUUGAUAUACCACCUUCCCACCGUGUACUGGGACACUCGCCCUGUUCUGGCCAUGUUGACCUUUUUGGUUAUUCUUGGAUUCCACUGAGGAUGUUCCUGCCUCUUAGUUUUCUUUCUCUCAUCAUUGGAGUCUCAGCAGGGACUCACAUCUCAGAGAAGCCUUCCUUAAUUACACUGUCUGUCACAGCUGUCAUGUACCCCAUCUUCCUCCUCCCAUUACGCUGUGGUACCUUCAGAAUCCUAGGUCACUCACUGAAUGUGUCUGUUCUCGUGUUUGCUAUCCUGUUUCUUGCACUAGAAUAUGAAUUCCUCAAGGUUAGGGUUUGUCUAUUGACCCAUUGUAUCCCCAGCACCAGACACCUAGUAAGCCUUCAGUACGUGUGUUUGAAACUCCAAAGGAAUUUUAUUCUACAAUAGAGGGGUCAAGGAGUUACAUUUUUCAUGUUACCAAUGGCUUUGAUGUAACUCUGGCUCACAGGUAAUAAAGAAAUAAAGAGAUGAUGUUGAGUUCUUGGCCAGCAAGCCGAACACCUUAAAGCAGUCAAAAUAAAUGCUUUGUGGGGUCCACAGACCCAAGGCAGUAAGCAUAUUAUAAUGGAAAAGGCAUCAGUUUCAAAAUAAAAAUUUCUGUUCCAGUCUCCCCACUGGUGUUUUCCUGCAGGUCCUCAGACAAGUCACUUAGCCUCUGAGCCACUGUUUUAUCAGUUGUUAAAAGAAAAUAUUGAUACCAACUCCACAGGAUUCUUGCAAGGGAUAUUUUAACCAGAAGGUUUUUACCUUGCAUCUAAAAGCAUGUCUAUAAAAUUUCUGAUAUAUAUGCACUAAUAAACAUCCCACAAAUUUUAAGUAUUUUACUUUCUAGAAAUUUUUUUUUCUUCAGUUAGAAACAGAUAAUUUUAAGUAUGUCAAAACUGUAGUACAUGUAGAACUCUGUAUGAGACAAAGAAAUCUGGAGCAACCAAGGAGUUAAGAAGGAUUUCAAAUUCUUCUUCUGGUUAGUUCACACUCUUCACCUUCUUUAUUUCUAAAGUUACUCAUUGUCGGGCUAGGGUUAUAGCCCAGUGGUUGAGCGCUUGCCUCGCAUGUGUGAGGCACUAGGUUUGAUCCUCAGUGCUACAAAAAUAAAUAAAUAAAACAAGAUAUUUUGUCCAUGUAUAACUUAAAAAAAUAUAUUUGUUUAAACAGUCACUCAUUGUGGACUUCUGACCUUUAAAGAUUCACUUUCUUACAGAGUAAGAGUACUUGAUAGGGAGUUGGAUGGUAGAGCACUUGCCUAGCAAGUGUGAGGCACUGGCCUCAAUUCUCAGCACCACAUAUAAAUAAAUGAAUAAAAUAAAGGUUCAUCAACAUCUAAAAAUUUUUUUUUAAAAAGAGUAUAAAACUCUGCUUUUAACAAACUAAAUUUAUGUUAAUUUUGAUGCUUUUCUAAGAAACAGAAAAAUGAUCAUACUUCUCAACUGAUACUAUUUAUUGUUACUCUGGGUAUUAGAACUGUAAUAUUCAGAAAGUGCUGGUUAUAUCUUUAUUUCAUACUUCUGAAAGUACAUCAAGUGAAGUUGUUCAUUUAACAAAAUUGUAAAGCUCAACACUGUGACAAUUUUAGUCUAUAGCUUUUGUAAGUGUUCUGUGUUAGGAGCCAUCCAUGGGCUGUGUGUGUGAGCUAUGCGCAUUUGAGUGUAUGAGGGGACUGGUCUGGCGUUGCUUGCUGAUUGGGCUGUGCAAAGCAAAUGUGCCUUUUCUCGCACUCUGCCUGUGAUCCCGCACAGCACCUGAGAUGGGUGUGAUUUGCCAAGGUGUCAAUCAAUCUGCUGACCACAGGACAUCACCAAGAAAGACUCUACCUUCGAAACCCUACCCCUUGCCUUAUUUGGGUGGAAUCUUCUAUCGAAAGUCUUCUCCCCAAUAAAUAUGGGGGUUUUGGGUGUGCUCGCUCUCUUGCCUCUUGCUCUUUCCAGCACUGCCCAGUGUGGAGCUGAGGUGAGGUCACAGAGCCAACCUUGACCCCCCCCAAAAGUAUUUUGUGUUUGUGUGGUUUUUUUCAUUGCUAGCCCAGUUCAUGCGGAUUGACCCUGAAUCCAUUGCUGUGCUGGACGUGGGCGAUAGUUCUGUUUAUGCAAGCAUAAUUACUUUAAAGACAUCAUUUAAAAACUCACAGUGGGUGUGGCAGUGCACGCCUGUAAUCCCAGUGGUUUGGGAGGCUGAGGCAGGAGAAUCACGAGUUUGAAGGUAGCCUCAGCCAAUUAGCAAGGCCCUAAGCAACUCAGUGAGACCCUGUCCCUAAACAAAAUACAAAAUAGGGCUGGGGAUAUGGCUUAGUGGUUAAGCACCCCGAGUUCAAUCCCUAGAACCAAAAAACAAACAAACAAAAAAACUCAAUAUGACAAAAAAAGUACCUUAAGCAAUAUGAAGUACUUUAAGUUUUAGAUUGUUUCUCUUGGUGGCUUGUGUAUUCAUCACCUUGUUUCAUUCCUUCAUUUCUUAAAUUUAUUCUUCAUUUCUUAAAUCUAUAUAUUCAGAAACAAAUAUAUAGAACAACAGCCUCUAGCCCUGGAAGGCCAUUGUACAAGACCUAUGUUAGCCAUAACUUUGAAGAACUCACUGAAAAUUGACAGUCAUAACACCUUGUUCAUUCUUUACCCUGAUAGUGAAAGUACUUUCUUGAGGGAAUCAAGAGGCCAGAUAAUAUAGCUUCUUGUUUUUUUAUUUACUUUUUUUUAACCUAUAACUUAGUUUAUAAAAUUUGUUUCAUGAGUUUGAGUUUCUUUGCCUUCUUCAGAGUUCCAUCCACAUCAGUUAUAGACAUAUCCAUUGCUCCCUUGACCUCCAUGCAGUUGAUGAGCUGGAUUCCAAGAAUGGAAAUGAACUUUGAACUCACUUAGAUCAACCCUACACAUCUGAAUAUGUUUUACUGUCAUUGCUGAACACCCAUACCUUCCUUUAUUCCCCCAAGUAAACAGUCAUGGAAGGGGACAAUUUGGACAUAACAACAUUAUAGUGAAAGGCUGAAACAUUAAUAUUCUUAAGUAUCCACUAUCUUCUUUCUAUCAGUGGGUUUUACAUUUGAAUGUUAUUCUGCCAAUCACUUGGAGAGCUUGUUUAAAAACAGACUCCCAAACCAUCCUCCAGGCAUUCAGAUUUAAUAGAUCUUGACUGAAAUUUAAGAAUCUUCAUUUCUAAUGAGCACCCUAUUGAUGUUGAUUCAGUUUGAGAAUGCAUUAUACUUUCUCUCAAGUCUUAAGUCAGAGGGCAGGUUUUCAAAUUUCUUAAAUGAGUCUCAAUAUGGAACUUAGGCCUGGUGGUAAAAGGAGUCUGCUUUCUCACUAUGCCUGGGCUUACGGAAAACUGGACCAACGUUUUGUAGCUGUGCUUUAUCCUCUGAGGUUUCUUACAUAAACAGCCCACAUAACUACGCACAGGAGCAUUGCACCAGGGGCUACCCAUGUGCUUCUGCGGAGCUGUUUUUAACUUCAAUCAUCUUUUCUCCACUGGUAUACAUUACAGUUUCCAAGAUGUUGUAUUUUCUUUCCUGAUUGACUGGAUAUUGACCCAAAGUCUUUACCUCUAAAUAUUCUCCUUUCUGUAGGAUUUCUGUCAAAAUGGAAAAUGAUAUAUGAGCUCCUUGAGGCUACAGACUAGGUCUAAUUAUGUAGAAGGAAAUUUUUCAAAAUUUAUAGGGCUCUUACAGUGGUAAAUCUUUAUGUAAACAAAGGAUCAUAUCUUAAUUGAUCUAUUUCUUAAGUUUAGAUUUUUGUGGAUUCUCUUUUAAAUUGGGACAUCUUUCCUUUGUGAGGCAGUGUGGUAUAGUAGAAAGAACUUCAGAAUGAAGUACAAAAAGUUCUGGCUUCUUGUAUUGGUCCUGUCCUUUUCCAGCCCUGCAUGUGACUUUGCACAGCUCAUUUAAUCAUUUUCCUUAGUUGUAAAUUGGGGGUAAUAGUAGGAGACCUUAUAUGUUAGGAAGAAAAGAGAGAAAGGAGAAAUAACAGCUGUGAAAAGUAAACCUGUGGUCAUAUUGGAAUAUAACCUACAAAAAGAAUAGUUGAGGGUUUGAGUAGUAAUUAAUUUUAUUUUUUUCAACAUUUUAUUGCUUUGGGUUGUAAUUGUCUAAUUGAACAUAAGAAAAAAAUAGAGAUGCAGGUAGAAGGCAGAUAACUUUUUUCUCAUCCAACCUGAACCACUUAUUUUCAAUCUAAUUCCUGUCCAAGAAAAGAAAACUAGUAUUUUAGUUAGCUUCAUCUUGAGGGAAUGUCCUGCUUCUCUUCUGCUGUUUAAAAGCCUAAAAAUAUGAUAAUGAUUCUGUGACUCACACGCUUGCUUUCUCAUUGGCUUACUAUGUGAUUCAAAUCAGAUAAGGUAUAAUAAACUGCUUUGAAAAAUGGUAAGAAGCUCUGAAAAAAGAAAGAAUGAAGUUCUAAGAUAUUGUUUACAAAUCUUUUCUCCCUUUACACCUACAAAAUUUUAUAUUUGAAAUGAUUGAGAUUUUAAUAAAAUCAAAAAAUUUUCUUCUAA